RNAcentral lists this ribosomal RNA (253 nucleotides) under uncultured bacterium. RNAcentral's name for it is "partial 16S ribosomal RNA". It matches the Rfam family "Bacterial small subunit ribosomal RNA", at positions 524 to 776 of the family's 1533-position model. The record is from RNAcentral.
UACAGAGGUCCCAAGCGUUGUUCGGGUUCACUGGGCGUAAAGGGUGCGUAGGUGGUGGGGAAAGUCUGGCGUGAAAUCUCCGAGCUUAACUCGGAAAUGGCGUUGGAAACUACCUCACUCGAGGGUUGGAGGGGGGACUGGAAUACUUGGUGUAGCAGUGAAAUGCGUAGAUAUCAAGUGGAACACCAGUGGCGAAGGCGAGUCCCUGGACAACUCCUGACACUGAGGCACGAAAGCUAGGGGAGCAAACAGG